GACAUACCACAGUGCUGACCCCGGAGAGGUUUAGCACGCUCCCCCAGCAGGGAUGCCAGCAGCUGGACUGCAGCUGUUACCGCCGGAGUGGGGGCUGGAGCCGUCGCCAGCAGUCCCUGCUGUUUGCCUAAACUAGGCCCGCCAGCAGAUCCCCUCCAUUUGCUCCCACCCCGCUCCUCCUCAUGCGGCCUCCCCCACUGCUAGGGACGGGAAGGGAGCAGCUGAGCCUGCCCUGGCAGGAUGGGGGUGGGGUGGGGGAGCUUGGCUCUAGAGAGAGGAGGUCUCCUUUAUGAACCGAGGCAUGUCCUUGAAGGGUAGGGCAAUGUCCUCCCCAUUGCAUUUCUGGGGAAACUGAGGCCCAAGGAAAAAUAGGAAUUGGUCCCCAGUCACACAACCAGGGCAUGCUAGAGCUAGGGCUGGCACCCAACUGAGUCUAGAAGCACCACACCACUGGCUCUGGCCCUCUGUGCUGUGCUCUUGGCCCUCCCUGCAGCAAUUCAGCACACACUACAGAGACUGCCCCGUGCAGACAGCAGCAUUUAACCAGCAUUACUCCCGGCACAACCUCGGGGAGGGCGAGGGGCCCGAUGACUGAACAAAAGGAGCACUAGGAAACGGAUCAUAGAAAUAGAAAGAGGGACACAGAGAGGGAAAGGAGGGUACGUGAGUAGGGGAGCAGGAGGGAACGCAUGGGAGAGGGAAACAGAGAAGUAAGGAGAGGCAGAGAAAGUUAGAGAAAGAAAAGAGAGAGGUGAUGAGGUGCCCAGAACGAGUGGAAAGAAAGGACAAGAUCACCUCCCUCCCCCAGCUAGUUCCGAGCCCCUCCCAGCACAGACAAAGCCUGUGGGGUAGAGAGAGGAUUGCACAGACAAAGCCUGUGGGGUAGAGAAAGGACAGGGAGGGAGGAAGGGUGGGAGGGCUGCUUGGGGAGCAGGGCAAAGGCGGAGCGGGCAUUAAAAUCGGUUUCUGGGAGGCAUCUCCUGCCAUCCCACAAUGCCUCAAGCUCCCUGAGUGACCUAGCGCAAACACACCAGCCCGCCUCCCACCGUGAUGUGGCACUUCUAGACUCAAGUGGGCUAAUCUGCGACGGGACGCUAAGCAAACACCCCCUCAGCCAGAGAGAGUCAUCACUCCUUCCGGCCCAAGGGGAGACGCAGCUGCAUAAAGAACCACCCCCCUACCGCCGCCUCCACUGUCUCACUGUCUGGCCCCUACUCUUCAGCCCUUCCUCAUCUAGAGCUGGAUCUGACACCAAAGGCGUCUUGUGAGCAGUGUCAUGACCGAGAAUGAAUACUCUGGAUGUGGUGGCUGGCUCCUUGUGAAGAAGAAUUCAAUCAGAUUCCAUUUGAUUAAUCUGCAUUGAGAUCCUAGUAUGUGUCCGACACUAUGCAGAAAUACUUCACUCCCUCUUCCAUGGCAGACCAUGAUGAACUAGGGUUUGCUGUUUUCACGGCUUCUGUCACUGUUGGAGCUGAGGCUGAGGCUGCAGCAGGAGCUCCUCUGGCCCCGAGGCAAGAGACAUGUUCUCUGCAUCCCCAGGGGACCCAAAGCAACUUCUGGUUUGGGUUAAAGAGGACUUGGGUGACCCCACCCUGCCAGUCAUCCACCCUCUGGCAGCCAGGGCGGCAGCAGGGGAGGGGGCAAAAGGCUGCCACAGUGCUUCUCUCCCCUGCCAUUUCCUCUGCAGCUCCCUCUCUGGCCCUGUUUUUCAGACCUCUAGUAAUAAAAACAAGCCAAUAAAAUGAACAUGAAAAUAUAUUCA
Long non-coding RNA from Pan troglodytes (chimpanzee), 1762 nucleotides. RefSeq lists it as uncharacterized. The record is from RefSeq and is a predicted model, not a curated record. Lineage: Eukaryota; Metazoa; Chordata; Mammalia; Primates; Hominidae. The transcript has 3 exons.